AAUAAAUGAAUAAUAUGCACUCAUCAAAUUCCCCCACACUUAGCCUUUUACACGUCCUCGUGUAAACCAAAAGUUUGAUUUCCAAAAAAUUCUAUUCAACCAUAGUGUCAAAAGAUUUCAAGAUACAAAUAAUGACUAUCAACACUAAAUUUGCAGAAAUCUAAUCAACGCCUUAUCAAUUAACUCACAAUUACCAACUUUAUCAUUUCACCAAUGAAUUUCAUUAAAUCAAAUUGUAGCCACAUAAGUAACUUUUCCAAAAUCAUCAUACUUACUCAACUUAGUUACCAUGGAGCAAAAUCCGUGCACACUGACUCAUAACCAAGAACAAAUUUUUCUUGCUUUUUAAUUUUUUUCAUAGAACCUUCUUUUUAGCACAGAUGAAU
This 386-nucleotide long non-coding RNA is filed under the name Panax ginseng (ginseng). Its description in RNAcentral is "long non-coding RNA (PGIN_LNC001562)". The record is from RNAcentral. Lineage: Eukaryota; Viridiplantae; Streptophyta; Magnoliopsida; Apiales; Araliaceae.